GUUGAACGCUGGCGGCGUGCCUAAUACAUGCAAGUCGAGCGAACGGACGAGAAGCUUGCUUCUUUGAUUUUAGCGGCGGACGGGUGAGUAACACGUGGAUAACCUACCUUUAAGACUGGGAUAACUUCGGGAAACCGGUGCUAAUUCCGGCUAAUAUUUUGAACCGCAUGGUUCAAAAGUGUAAGACGGUCUUGCUGUCACUUAUACCUGGUUCCGCGCCGCAUUAGCUAGUUGGUAAGGUAACGGCUUACCAAGGCAACGAUGCAUAGCCGACCUGAGAGGAUGAUCAGCCACACUGGAACUGAGACACGGUCCAGACUCCUACGGGAGGCAGCAGUAGGGAAUCUUGCACAAUGGGCGAAAGCCUGACGGAGCAACGCCGCGUGAGUGAUGAAGGUCUUCGGAUCGUAAAACACUGUUAUUAGGGAAGAACAUAUGUAUAAGAAACUGUGCACAUCUUGACGGUACCAAAACAGAAAGCCACGGCUAACUACGUG
RNAcentral lists this ribosomal RNA (497 nucleotides) under uncultured bacterium. Its description in RNAcentral is "partial 16S ribosomal RNA". It matches the Rfam family "Bacterial small subunit ribosomal RNA", at positions 28 to 507 of the family's 1533-position model. The record is from RNAcentral.